GACCAGACUCCUACGGGAGGCAGCAGUGGGGAAUAUUGCGCAAUGGGGGCAACCCUGACGCAGCAACGCCGCGUGAUUGAAGAAGGCCUUCGGGUUGUAAAGAUCUUUAAUCAGGGACGAAAAAUGACGGUACCUGAAGAAUAAGCUCCGGCUAACUACGUGCCAGCAGCCGCGGUAAUACGUAGGGAGCAAGCGUUAUCCGGAUUUACUGGGUGUAAAGGGAGCGUAGACGGCAGCGCAAGUCUGAAGUGAAAUGCCGGGGCUUAACCCCGGAACUGCUUUGGAAACUGUGUAACUGGAGUACAGGAGGGGCAGGCGGAAUUCCUGGUGUAGCGGUGAAAUGCGUAGAUAUCAGGAGGAACACCGGCGGCGAAGGCGGCCUGCUGGACUGAAACUGACGUUGAGGCUCGAAAGCGUGGGGAGCAAACAGGAUUAGAUACCCGGGUAAA
This 449-nucleotide ribosomal RNA is filed under the name uncultured bacterium. RNAcentral's name for it is "bacterial SSU rRNA". It matches the Rfam family "Bacterial small subunit ribosomal RNA", at positions 329 to 794 of the family's 1533-position model. The record is from RNAcentral.